This is an RNA transcript of Tarenaya hassleriana, 1548 nucleotides long. It is a transcript of the gene named DNA repair protein RAD51 homolog 2-like, with no coding region annotated. NCBI's taxonomy places the organism in Eukaryota, Viridiplantae, Streptophyta, Magnoliopsida, Brassicales, Cleomaceae. The record is from RefSeq and is a predicted model, not a curated record. The transcript is spliced from 4 exons.
AGAGAGAGAGAGAGAGAGAGAGAGAGAGAGAGAGAGACCUCGCCAUCACCUCGCCGGAGAGGGUUGCCGGAUCUCGGUGGAAGGAGAAUCCUUACGCUGGAGGCGGGUAUAGCUAACGAGUUCAUUGUGGAUAUGGGGUUUCACCAACCGAAUUGCUAACAUUUUCGCGGCUCGAGACAUCGUCACCGCAAAGGACGCAUUGUCACUGACGGAAUUCAAGCUGAUGGAGUUGCUGAUUGUCGGAUUGGUAGAGUGGGUUGCUCUCAUCACUGAAUCCAAUUCUCCGCAGGGCCAGUGUGUGUAAGCUCUUUCCCUUUUGUCUUUUCUUCUUAAUUAUGCUAAAUAUGGUAUGAGACACGCUAUCUAUUUGCUUCAAGGCUCGGUUGCUGCCGGAGCCAAAUCUUGCAAAUGAACACUUAUCAGAUCAUCUUCCUACCCGUUUGAACGGGCUGGACGCAGCCGUAUAUGGUGGAAUACCUUGUAGUGUUCUAACAGAGUUACUUGAUUCUUACCCUCAUUGUAUAUCUUACAUUUUCUGGACUGAUGUUAUGUGGAGAGGGGCAAUUGAAACUUUUCUCAGGAUGAUUGAGAUUGGACUGAAAACUUUCCCCAAAGUAUUUCACCUUAAAGAAAUGGCUCAAGAGGUUGCGGCACGAGCAGAUGACGGGAAGAAUUCUUGUUUUGCGACUGAUUUCACUGAAAAGCCUUGAAAUCAAGCCGAGAGCUUGGAGACAGCAUCAGUUGGGUUGGCAUAUCUCUUUCUUAAAAUGUGAAGGCCAGCUUCUUGUCAGCUCUCUGUCAGAAAGUUAUCUUGAGAUCAUCACUUUAUAUGUGUUCGGAGACAGCAUUAAGUCGCCUGCUGAAUUUCCUCGAAUACCUAUUGUGGUGAGAAACCAAAUUAGAUCUCGGAACCGUGAUGAAAACUAGCAAGUAUUCUUUCCAAGGUAGACUCACAGACAUAGAAACAUCUGCUGGUACAAUCAAUGGGGAACAUUCUCAAUGCCCAUUUAGGAUGAUCAAAUUUGCCAGCUCAACAGAAAGAUAGAAUUCAGGAUGAUGCUCAUCUUAUCGUCGCAUUGGAGGUUAACUGGGCGCAUGCCAUAACCAUCCGGCUGGUUCUUGAAGCCAAUUCGGGUAAAUGUCACACAUGUAUGAAAAGAAAGUUGGUUUUCCGCAGUGACAAUGAUAAUCACAUGGGUCCACAUUCAUCCUUUCUGUCGCAUUUGACCGUCUUGUGUCCAUGAGGGUUAAUCACAGAGAUUAUACACAAACGCUUUUCAUGAUUGUGAAGUCUCCUCCUACAUUAUCUUGCCUUAACAUAAGAUGGGCUUUCGUUGCUGAGUGAUGAAGGAGCAGGGCUGAAAGGACAGGAGAUUUUACCUCAGAUUCAUGCUCGAGGUGCGUUUUUUUGUUUUUGUUUUGUUUUUGCCUUUACAUCUAGACAGAAUUCUUUCUUGUUCACGCUUCUGUACAACUAGAGUCGGUUUGGGACUAAUGCAUCUGGCAUUAGUUCAUAGCAAAAGUUGCAGGCUGUGAAUUUGAUUUAAA